GUGCCAGCAGCCGCGGUAAUUCCAGCUCCAAUAGCGUAUAUUAAAGUUGUUGCAGUUAAAAAGCUCGUAGUUGGAUCUCGGGUCCCGGCCUGCGGUUCACCACACGGUGUCUACUGCCCGUCCGGACCUACCUGCCGGUUUUCCCCUGGUUCUCUUCGUUGAGUGCCUCGGGUGGCCGGAACGUUUACUUUGAAAAAAUUAGAGUGUUCAAAGCAGGCGGUUCGCCUGAAUAAUGGUGCAUGGAAUAAUGGAAUAGGACCUCGGUUCUAUUUUGUUGGUUUUCGGAAGUCGAGGUAAUGAUUAAGAGGGACAGACGGGGGCAUUCGUAUUACGGUGUUAGAGG
Molecule: ribosomal RNA, 343 nt
Filed under: Glycera capitata
Lineage: Eukaryota; Metazoa; Annelida; Polychaeta; Phyllodocida; Glyceridae
Description: SSU rRNA
Rfam family: Eukaryotic small subunit ribosomal RNA
Source: RNAcentral